Non-coding RNA from Myotis brandtii (Brandt's bat), 74 nucleotides. NCBI's taxonomy places the organism in Eukaryota, Metazoa, Chordata, Mammalia, Chiroptera, Vespertilionidae. The record is from Rfam.
GCUGGUGUGGCUCAGUGGGCAGAGCGUCGGCCUGCGGACCAAAGGGUCCCGGGUUCGAUUCCCGGGCAAGGGCA